GCCGGGCAGGUGCCCGGCAGAUGUGUGUUGAAUAAACAGCUCUCCCUCCUGUCAGGACAAGCAAAAGCAUCAGAGACAGAGACAGACAGAGAUAGAGAUGAAAGACAGACAGAGUUGGAGACGGCGAUAGAGUGAAUGAGAGAGAGACGGCAGCAUGUGUGAGCAGGCGGGGGCAGUAGGAGCUUUCCAGGGGCUCUGAUGGGAUGGACAAGACUGGACACCAAGGUCUUCAUCGGCAAGAGGUUCCUGUGACACAGACAUGACACCCCACAGCCUGCAGAAGGUGGACACAGUCAGGAGGGCCCCCCUGGCUUUGAGAGCAGACGGCAGAGUCCCGUGAGGAAAUCUUGGCUUAGCCUCUUCCCCACUGUGUGAUUUUGGACACCUUCCUUGACCUCUCUGAGCCUCUGACCUUCUGCCGGACAGUGCUGACUUGCAGAGUUGUUGUAAGGUUUGGAGAUCAUGGAUGCAAAAUGUCUCCAACUAGCCUAGCACGUGCUGAACAUCUGGC
This 511-nucleotide long non-coding RNA is filed under the name Homo sapiens (human). Its description in RNAcentral is "non-protein coding lnc-MCM5-1:2". Lineage: Eukaryota; Metazoa; Chordata; Mammalia; Primates; Hominidae. The record is from RNAcentral.